RNAcentral lists this ribosomal RNA (922 nucleotides) under Rhodanobacter sp. Its description in RNAcentral is "bacterial SSU rRNA". It matches the Rfam family "Bacterial small subunit ribosomal RNA", at positions 503 to 1422 of the family's 1533-position model. Lineage: Bacteria; Pseudomonadati; Pseudomonadota; Gammaproteobacteria; Lysobacterales; Rhodanobacteraceae. The record is from RNAcentral.
UCGUGCCAGCAGCCGCGGUAAUACGAAGGGUGCAAGCGUUAAUCGGAAUUACUGGGCGUAAAGGGUGCGUAGGCGGUUCGUUAAGUCUGUCGUGAAAUCCCCGGGCUCAACCUGGGAAUGGCGAUGGAUACUGGCAAGCUAGAGUGUGUCAGAGGAUGGUGGAAUUUCCGGUGUAGCGGUGAAAUGCGUAGAGAUCGGAAGGAACAUCAGUGGCGAAGGCGGCCAUCUGGGACAACACUGACGCUGAAGCACGAAAGCGUGGGGAGCAAACAGGAUUAGAUACCCUGGUAGUCCACGCCCUAAACGAUGCGAACUGGAUGUUGGUCUCAACUCGGAGAUCAGUGUCGAAGCUAACGCGUUAAGUUCGCCGCCUGGGGAGUACGGUCGCAAGACUGAAACUCAAAGGAAUUGACGGGGGCCCGCACAAGCGGUGGAGUAUGUGGUUUAAUUCGAUGCAACGCGAAGAACCUUACCUGGCCUUGACAUGUCUGGAAUCCUGCAGAGAUGCGGGAGUGCCUUCGGGAAUCAGAACACAGGUGCUGCAUGGCUGUCGUCAGCUCGUGUCGUGAGAUGUUGGGUUAAGUCCCGCAACGAGCGCAACCCUUGUCCUUAGUUGCCAGCACGUAAUGGUGGGAACUCUAAGGAGACUGCCGGUGACAAACCGGAGGAAGGUGGGGAUGACGUCAAGUCCUCAUGGCCCUUACGGCCAGGGCUACACACGUACUACAAUGGUCGGUACAGAGGGUUGCAAUACCGCGAGGUGGAGCCAAUCCCAGAAAGCCGAUCCCAGUCCGGAUCGGAGUCUGCAACUCGACUCCGUGAAGUCGGAAUCGCUAGUAAUCGCGGAUCAGCUAUGCCGCGGUGAAUACGUUCCCGGGCCUUGUACACACCGCCCGUCACACCAUGGGAGUGAGUUGCUCCA